RNAcentral lists this long non-coding RNA (540 nucleotides) under Physcomitrium patens. RNAcentral describes it as "long non-coding RNA (PPAT_LNC014612)". The record is from RNAcentral. Lineage: Eukaryota; Viridiplantae; Streptophyta; Bryopsida; Funariales; Funariaceae.
CAUCGCUGUGAUAGUUGUGAGCCAAGGUAAGUUUGGUGCUACCUCUUUUCUUUUGUUUGUUAUUUUCUUUGAAUAAGAAGAUUGAGAGUUUCUGAAUAUUGUGAAGUGAAUUAUGGAAUGGAAAUGUGAUUGGUAUUAUUUGAGAAGAAGAAAGAUUGAAUGCUGAAAUCUGAUUGUAGUUCAGCAGAGAGAAUGAGUCUGUGUUUGUGUGAAACACUGUAAUGUGAAUGGCAGUUCUAUGUGAAGAAUUCCAGUGAUUGGAAUGAGGGUAAUUGUGUGCUGAAAACUAUGAGGGCGCAGUAUUACAGUUGGAGAUUAUGAAGGUGAAUAUAUUGAUGGAAAUAGCAGUUAUUGGUAUGACUGAAUUGCUAUAAAGAAGAUACCGAUAAGGUGAAGGAGGAGAUUAUAGUUUCUUUAUGUGUUCAGAUAUUAGAAAUAAAGACGAUACAUUCAGGAGGUAAUUGAUUGUGUGACCUUAAUGUAAACGCUUAAGCAACUAGUCAUUCCUUGUGUUUGAAUCUCCCUAUAUGGGUUUAUUCU